This 497-nucleotide ribosomal RNA is filed under the name uncultured bacterium. RNAcentral describes it as "partial 16S ribosomal RNA". It matches the Rfam family "Bacterial small subunit ribosomal RNA", at positions 28 to 507 of the family's 1533-position model. The record is from RNAcentral.
GAUGAACGCUGGCGGCGUGCCUAAUACAUGCAAGUCGAACGCAUAGCCAAAGGUGCUUGCCCCUUUCAGGUGAGUGGCGAACGGUUGAGUAACACGUGGUCAACCUGCUUCAAGGCUGGGGAUAACAUUUGGAAACAGAUGCUAAUACCGAAUAAAUCUUAGUGUCGCAUGACACAUAGUUAAAAGGCGCUUCGGCGUCACCUAGAGAUGGAUCCGCGCUGCAUUAGUUAGUUGGUGGGGUAAAGGCCUACCAAGACAAUGAUGCAUAGCCGAGUUGAGAGACUGAUCGGCCACACUGGAACUGAGACACGGCCCAAACUCCUACGGGAGGCUGCAGUAGGGAAUCUUCCACAAUGGGCGAAAGCCUGAUGGAGCAACGCCGCGUGUGUGAUGAAGGCUUUCGGGUCGUAAAGCACUGUUGUAAGGGAAGAACAGCUAGGAUAGGAAAUGAGUUUAGUUUGACGGUACCAAACCAGAAAGAGACGGCUAAAUACGUG